This 305-nucleotide ribosomal RNA is filed under the name uncultured bacterium. RNAcentral describes it as "bacterial SSU rRNA". It matches the Rfam family "Bacterial small subunit ribosomal RNA", at positions 337 to 634 of the family's 1533-position model. The record is from RNAcentral.
ACCUACGGGGCGCAGCAGUAGGGAAUCUUCCACAAUGGGCGAAAGCCUGAUGGAGCAACGCCGCGUGGGUGGAGAAGGUCUUCGGAUCGUAAAACCCUGUUGUUAGAGAAGAAAGUGCGUGAGGGUAACUGUUCACGUUUCGACGGUAUCUAACCAGAAAGCCACGGCUAACUACGUGCCAGCAGCCGCGGUAAUACGUAGGUGGCAAGCGUUAUCCGGAUUUAUUGGGCGUAAAGGGAACGCAGGCGGUCUUUUAAGUCUGAUGUGAAAGCCUUCGGCUUAACCGGAGUAGUGCAUUGGAAACU